GAUUGAGAAGUCUGCUGGAGGUAUCACGAGUGCGAAUGCUGACAUGAGUAACGAUAAGGGGAGUGAAAAACUCCCCCGCCGGAAGACCAAGGUUUUCUGUUCUACGUUAAUCGGAGCAGAGUGAGUCGGCCCCUAAGGCGAGGCGGAAACGCGUAGUCGAUGGGAAACGGGUUAAUAUUCCCGUACCGGAUGUGGUUGCGAUGGGGGGACGAAGAAGGCUAGGUGAGCCAGGCGUUGGUUGUCCUGGUGAAAGCAUGUAGGCCGAGGAAUCAGGCAAAUCCGGUUCCUCUGAGGUCGAGAUGCGAGACGAACUGACUACGGUCAGGAAGUCAUCGAUGCCACGCUUCCAGGAAAAGCCUCUAAGCUUCAGAUCACAUGCGACCGUACCCCAAACCGACACAGGUGGUCAGGUAGAGAAUACCAAGGCGCUUGAGAGAACUCGGGUGAAGGAACUAGGCAAAAUGGCACCGUAACUUCGGGAGAAGGUGCACCGGUUCGAGUGAAGGACUUGCUCCGUAAGCUCUUACCGGUCGAAGAUACCAGGUGGCUGCAACUGUUUAUUAAAAACACAGCACUCUGCAAACGCGCAAGCGGACGUAUAGGGUGUGACGCCUGCCCGGUGCCGGAAGGUUAAUUGAUGGGGUUAGGAUUCGUCCGAAGCUCUUGAUCGAAGCCCCGGUAAACGGCGGCCGUAACUAUAACGGUCCUAAGGUAGCGAAAUUCCUUGUCGGGUAAGUUCCGACCUGCACGAAUGGCGUAAUGAUGGCCACGCUGUCUCCACCCGAGACUCAGUGAAAUUGAAAUCGCAGUGAAGAUGCUGUGUACCCGCGGCUAGACGGAAAGACCCCGUGAACCUUUACUAUAGCUUUACACUGGAUGCUGAUGUUGUCUGUGUAGGAUAGCUGGGAGGCUUUGAAACCACGUCGCCAGAUGCGGUGGAGCCAACCUUGAAAUACCAGCCUGACAUCAUUGGCGUUCUAACUCAGGUCCGUUAUCCGGAUCGAGGACAGUGUAUGGUGGGUAGUUUGACUGGGGCGGUCUCCUCCUAAAGAGUAACGGAGGAGCACGAAGGUACCCUCAGCACGGUUGGAAAUCGUGCAUUGAGUGCAAGAGCAUAAGGGUGCUUGACUGCGAGACAGACACGUCGAGCAGGUACGAAAGUAGGUUCUAGUGAUCCGGUGGUUCUGUAUGGAAGGGCCAUCGCUCAACGGAUAAAAGGUACUCCGGGGAUAACAGGCUGAUACCGCCCAAGAGUUCACAUCGACGGCGGUGUUUGGCACCUCGAUGUCGGCUCAUCACAUCCUGGGGCUGAAGUCGGUCCCAAGGGUAUGGCUGUUCGCCAUUUAAAGUGGUACGCGAGCUGGGUUUAGAACGUCGUGAGACAGUUCGGUCCCUAUCUGCCGUGGGCGUCGGAAGUUUGAGAAGAGCUGCUCCUAGUACGAGAGGACCGGAGUGGACGAACCUCUGGUGUUCGGGUUGUCAUGCCAAUGGCAUUGCCCGGUAGCUACGUUCGGACGGGAUAACCGCUGAAAGCAUCUAAGCGGGAAGCCCCCUUCAAGAUGAGACUUCCCUGAGGCCUUGCGCCUCCUGAAGGGCCCUUGAAGACUACAAGGUUGAUAGGCUGGGUGUGGAAGCACAGCAAUGUGUUGAGCUAACCAGUACUAAUUGCCCGUGAGGCUUGACCAU
Molecule: ribosomal RNA, 1686 nt
Filed under: Cobetia marina
Lineage: Bacteria; Pseudomonadati; Pseudomonadota; Gammaproteobacteria; Oceanospirillales; Halomonadaceae
Description: partial 23S ribosomal RNA
Rfam family: Bacterial large subunit ribosomal RNA
Source: RNAcentral